UGUGUGUUCCAGGUAAAUCCGGUUCACUUUAACACUGAGGCGUGACGACGAGGCACUACGGUGCUGAAGCAACAAAUGCCCUGCUUCCAGGAAAAGCCUCUAAGCAUCAGGUAACAUCAAAUCGUACCCCAAACCGACACAGGUGGUCAGGUAGAGAAUACCAAGGCGCUUGAGAGAACUCGGGUGAAGGAACUAGGCAAAAUGGUGCCGUAACUUCGGGAGAAGGCACGCUGACACGUAGGUGAAGUGAUUUACUCAUGGAGCUGAAGUCAGUCGAAGAUACCAGCUGGCUGCAACUGUUUAUUAAAAACACAGCACUGUGCAAACACGAAAGUGGACGUAUACGGUGUGACGCCUGCCCGGUGCCGGAAGGUUAAUUGAUGGGGUCAGCGCAAGCGAAGCUCCUGAUCGAAGCCCCGGUAAACGGCGGCCGUAACUAUAACGGUCCUAAGGUAGCGAAAUUCCUUGUCGGGUAAGUUCCGACCUGCACGAAUGGCGUAAUGAUGGCCAGGCUGUCUCCACCCGAGACUCAGUGAAAUUGAACUCGCUGUGAAGAUGCAGUGUACCCGCGGCAAGACGGAAAGACCCCGUGAACCUUUACUAUAGCUUGACACUGAACAUUGAGCCUUGAUGUGUAGGAUAGGUGGGAGGCUUUGAAGUGUGGACGCCAGUCUGCAUGGAGCCGACCUUGAAAUACCACCCUUUAAUGUUUGAUGUUCUAACGUGGACCCGUUACCCGGGUUGCGGACAGUGUCUGGUGGGUAGUUUGACUGGGGCGGUCUCCUCCUAAAGAGUAACGGAGGAGCACGAAGGUUGGCUAAUCCUGGUCGGACAUCAGGAGGUUAGUGCAAUGGCAUAAGCCAGCUUGACUGCGAGCGUGACGGCGCGAGCAGGUGCGAAAGCAGGUCAUAGUGAUCCGGUGGUUCUGAAUGGAAGGGCCAUCGCUCAACGGAUAAAAGGUACUCCGGGGAUAACAGGCUGAUACCGCCCAAGAGUUCAUAUCGACGGCGGUGUUUGGCACCUCGAUGUCGGCUCAUCACAUCCUGGGGCUGAAGUAGGUCCCAAGGGUAUGGCUGUUCGCCAUUUAAAGUGGUACGCGAGCUGGGUUUAGAACGUCGUGAGACAGUUCGGUCCCUAUCUGCCGUGGGCGCUGGAGAACUGAGGGGGGCUGCUCCUAGUACGAGAGGACCGGAGUGGACGCAUCACUGGUGUUCGGGUUGUCAUGCCAAUGGCACUGCCCGGUAGCUAAAUGCGGAAGAGAUAAGUGCUGAAAGCAUCUAAGCACGAAACUUGCCCCGAG
RNAcentral lists this ribosomal RNA (1300 nucleotides) under Salmonella enterica subsp. enterica serovar Enteritidis. Its description in RNAcentral is "partial 23S ribosomal RNA". It matches the Rfam family "Bacterial large subunit ribosomal RNA", at positions 1525 to 2803 of the family's 2925-position model. Lineage: Bacteria; Pseudomonadati; Pseudomonadota; Gammaproteobacteria; Enterobacterales; Enterobacteriaceae. The record is from RNAcentral.